CGCGGGUUAGUGUAAUAGUUAACAUUUUUGACUCAUAAUCAAAAGAUUGGAGUGCGAAUCUUCAAUCCGCAC
This is a non-coding RNA of Exophiala bonariae, 72 nucleotides long. The record is from the annotation of a RefSeq genome assembly. NCBI's taxonomy places the organism in Eukaryota, Fungi, Ascomycota, Eurotiomycetes, Chaetothyriales, Herpotrichiellaceae.